UGGGGAAUAUUGCACAAUGGAGGGAACUCUGAUGCAGCGACGCCGCGUGAACGAAGAAGGCUUUCGAGUCGUAAAGUUCUUUUAUAUGGGAAGAUAAUGACGGUACCAUAAGAAAAAGCCCCGGCUAACUACGUGCCAGCAGCCGCGGUAAUACGUAGGGGGCUAGCGUUGUCCGGACUCACUGGGCGUAAAGGGUUCGCAGGCGGAAAUGCAAGUCAGGUGUAAAAGGCAGUAGCUUAACUACUGUAAGCAUUUGAAACUGCAUAUCUUGAGAAGAGUAGAGGUAAGUGGAAUUUUUAGUGUAGCGGUGAAAUGCGUAGAUAUUAAAAAGAAUACCGGUGGCGAAGGCGACUUACUGGGCUCAUUCUGACGCUGAGGAACGAAAGCGUGGGUAGCAAACAGG
RNAcentral lists this ribosomal RNA (403 nucleotides) under bacterium. RNAcentral describes it as "partial 16S ribosomal RNA". It matches the Rfam family "Bacterial small subunit ribosomal RNA", at positions 355 to 776 of the family's 1533-position model. The record is from RNAcentral.